AUUGAGUAGGCGGGAACCCCAACUUGUGAGGAAAUGAAAUUUUAUAUUUUCUUUUUCUUUUUUCUUCAGACAUUUUCUCUCAUUUUUUUAUUUUUCCUAAGUUUAAUUCAAUAAUUAUAACUAAUUAUGCAAUGCUCAAAACACAAUUUUCACUUCAUAAAUGUUUAUUUUAUUUUUUUCAAGUCUAAUGAGACUAAUUUUUUAUAUAUUUUAAUAAAAAUAUUAAAAUUUGAA
This 234-nucleotide long non-coding RNA is filed under the name Linum usitatissimum (flax). Its description in RNAcentral is "long non-coding RNA (LUSI_LNC005751)". The record is from RNAcentral. Lineage: Eukaryota; Viridiplantae; Streptophyta; Magnoliopsida; Malpighiales; Linaceae.